RNAcentral lists this unclassified non-coding RNA (376 nucleotides) under soil metagenome. RNAcentral's name for it is "partial contains 5.8S ribosomal RNA, internal transcribed spacer 2, and large subunit ribosomal RNA". The stretch from base 2 to 120 matches the Rfam family "5.8S ribosomal RNA", at positions 36 to 154 of the family's 154-position model. The record is from RNAcentral.
UAUGAAGAACGUAGCGAAAUGCGAUAAGUAAUGUGAAUUGCAGAAUUCAGUGAAUCAUCGAAUCUUUGAACGCAUCUUGCGCUCCUUGGUAUUCUGAGGAGCAUGCCUGUUUGAGUGUCAUUAAAUUCUCAACUACACUGACUUUGAAUUGGUGUGGCUUGGAUUUGGGGGGAAAAUUGUAGUGGGCUUUUUGUAUAGUCUGCUCCCCUGAAAUUGAUUAGCGGUACCUUUGUGGAACUGUCUACAGGUGUGAUAAUUAUCUACAUCUUAGACAUCUGCUGGAAUGCUGCUUUCUAAACCUUACUUGUAUUGACAAUCUUGACCUCAAAUCAGGUAGGACUACCCGCUGAACUUAAGCAUAUCAAUAAGCGGAGGA